RNAcentral lists this long non-coding RNA (446 nucleotides) under Musa acuminata (dwarf banana). RNAcentral describes it as "long non-coding RNA (MACU_LNC000640)". Lineage: Eukaryota; Viridiplantae; Streptophyta; Magnoliopsida; Zingiberales; Musaceae. The record is from RNAcentral.
AUUCUCUUAUCUAUCCAGCAGAGGAGCUCUGCACAUGUUCAAAGACCCUUCGAAGAUAAUGGAAGACAAUAGUUGUCAAAUCCUCACCAACGGUGAUCAGUGCUACUGAAAGUAGAUUGUCCGCUUCAUUUCCCAACGAAAUGCCAAUCGAAAGUGGAAGUGAUGUGAACCUACUUGGAUGUGACAACUAAGUGAAAGAAGAGUCAAUGAGCAAAUUUUGUGGAGGAAGGACCCAAAACUUCAGAAGUUUGCGAGACGAUGCUCGUUAAAGCUCCAACAAGCAUCCACCCAGUUCAAGUAGCAUGAGGCAUUUGAGAGACUAGCGUAAGGAUGGUCUUUUCCUUACUACGGUAAGGAUGGUCUUUUCCUUCAUCUGGAGGAUCCGCAGGAACUAACAAGGAUCAACACAACUCAGCCAACCCCACACUAGAGUUAGAGUCAUUGGC